CAGAGGUCUCAAGCGUUGUUCGGAUUCAUUGGGCGUAAAGGGUGCGUAGGCGGCGCGGUAAGUCGGUGUGAAAUCUCGGAGCUUAACUCCGAAACUGCAUUCGAUACUGCCGUGCUUGAGGACUGGAGAGGAGACUGGAAUUUACGGUGUAGCGGUGAAAUGCGUAGAUAUCGUAAGGAAGACCAGUGGCGAAGGCGGGUCUCUGGACAGUUCCUGACGCUGAGGCACGAAGGUCAGGGGAGCAAACGGGAUUAGAUACCCCGGUAGUCCUGACAGUAAACGGUGCACGUUUGGUGUGGGAGGAUUCGACCCCUUCUGCGCCGGAGCUAACGCGUUAAACGUGCCGCCUGGGGAGUACGGUCGCAAGAUUA
This 371-nucleotide ribosomal RNA is filed under the name uncultured organism. RNAcentral's name for it is "bacterial SSU rRNA". It matches the Rfam family "Bacterial small subunit ribosomal RNA", at positions 526 to 896 of the family's 1533-position model. The record is from RNAcentral.